AUCUAAGUACCCCGAGGAAAAGAAAUCAACCGAGAUUCCCCCAGUAGCGGCGAGCGAACGGGGAGGAGCCCAGAGCCUGAAUCAGCAUGUGUGUUAGUGGAAGCGUCUGGAAAGGCGCGCGAUACAGGGUGACAGCCCCGUACACAAAAGCGCAUGUGCUGUGAGCUCGAUGAGUAGGGCGGGACACGUGGUAUCCUGUCUGAAUAUGGGGGGACCAUCCUCCAAGGCUAAAUACUCCUGACUGACCGAUAGUGAACCAGUACCGUGAGGGAAAGGCGAAAAGAACCCCGGCGAGGGGAGUGAAAAAGAACCUGAAACCGUGUACGUACAAGCAGUGGGAGCCCCACCACCAAAGCAUUCUCUGGUGUUGAAGGCCCUGCAAAGCAGCAUCGCGGUGGCGGAGCGUCGUUUGCGACGCCCAACACACAAAACAAGCGGUGAGUGCUUUGGGGUGGGGUGACUGCGUACCUUUUGUAUAAUGGGUCAGCGACUUAUAUUCUGUAGCAAGGUUAACCGCAUAGGGGAGCCGGAGGGAAACCGAGUCUUAACCGGGCGUUAAGUUGCAGGGUAUAGACCCGAAACCCGGUGAUCUAGCCAUGGGCAGGUUGAAGGUUGGGUAACACUAACUGGAGGACCGAACCGACUAAUGUUGAAAAAUUAGCGGAUGACCUGUGGCUGGGGGUGAAAGGCCAAUCAAACCGGGAGAUAGCUGGUUCUCCCCGAAAGCUAUUUAGGUAGCGCCUCGUGAAUUCAUCUCCGGGGGUAGAGCACUGUUUCGGCUAGGGGGCCAUCCCGGCUUACCAACCCGAUGCAAACUGCGAAUACCGGAGAAUGUUAUCACGGGAGACACACGGCGGGUGCUAACGUCCGUCGUGAAGAGGGAAACAACCCAGACCGCCAGCUAAGGUCCCAAAGUCAUGGUUAAGUGGGAAACGAUGUGGGAAGGCCCAGACAGCCAGGAUGUUGGCUUAGAAGCAGCCAUCAUUUAAAGAAAGCGUAAUAGCUCACUGGUCGAGUCGGCCUGCGCGGAAGAUGUAACGGGGCUAAACCAU
Molecule: ribosomal RNA, 1052 nt
Filed under: Salmonella enterica subsp. enterica serovar Tennessee
Lineage: Bacteria; Pseudomonadati; Pseudomonadota; Gammaproteobacteria; Enterobacterales; Enterobacteriaceae
Description: partial 23S ribosomal RNA
Rfam family: Bacterial large subunit ribosomal RNA
Source: RNAcentral